GAAGACCGAAGAAUCUCGUAGCCGGAGCCUUUAACGACUACUUCGCCGUGACAAUUACAUUGCCUACGUGAACAGCUACUUCGCCUACGAUGGCUACAUCGUGUACGACUAUCUCGACUACUUUCUCUACAUCAUGACGCCGCACGUGUCCAACGUAUAACGAGCAACCGUCCCGUGAAACCACCGUUUUUUGGCAUAGACUAGUAGAUUGCGCGAUAUAUGCGAUAUAUGAACUGCAUGUGUUGUAUGAGAUGCCGU
This 258-nucleotide long non-coding RNA is filed under the name Brachypodium distachyon (stiff brome). Its description in RNAcentral is "long non-coding RNA (BDIS_LNC003616)". Lineage: Eukaryota; Viridiplantae; Streptophyta; Magnoliopsida; Poales; Poaceae. The record is from RNAcentral.